UUUGAUGUGAUUGAGAACUAUUUUUGAAUGCUAUGCUAAACAGAGUAUAGUGAUAUUAUUAUUUUCACAAAUGUAAUAUCAAAGGUGAUUUUCAAUUAUUAAGGUGAACUUUUUCACUAUUUCUGUAGUAUGAUAUUAUUAUCACCCUGGAUUUACUCAUUUCAUUCCAAGUAUGGAUGAUUUUUUUUUUAUAAACGCCCUAAGAAAAUUUCGUACUUAAUAUAAUAAUUUACCAUAUAUUGAAGAAUUGUAAAAAAAAAACCAUAUUUUGAAGAAAAAAAUCAUAGCCGAGAAUCUACCCGCGCUUUUAAAUUGAGGUUUUGAGAAGCCGCGGACCUGGGCGGGAUAUAAAGAAGCUUCCGGCAGAAAGAGGCACCGUCAGGCUCUACUGCUUAUUCGAAUUUGACAGUUCAGAAGUGAUCGAUGGCGUCGAAUCAAGUCGAAGGAGACCCUAGGUUUUUCGUCGCGGUUCACGUAGGUGCGGGAUUCCACUCGCCGUCCAAUGAGAAAGCCCUUAGGUCUGCCAUGAAACGAGCUUGUCUCGCUGGUGCUUCAGUUCUCAAGGGCUCUGGUGGAUGUGUGGAUGCUGUUUCGGCCGCCAUUCAAGUUUUGGAGGAUGAUCCAAGCACCAAUGCUGGCCGAGGCUCCAAUUUGAAUGAAGAAGGUUCGGUAGAAUGUGAUGCCAGUAUCAUGAAUGGUGAUACAGGAACAUUUGGAGCCGUUGGAGCAGUUCCAGGUGUUAAAAACGCAAUCCAGAUUGCGGCUUUACUGGUAAAGGAGCAAAUGACGAAAUCCACUUUGCUAGGUCUAAUACCUCCCAUGUUCUUGGUUGGCGAAGGUGCCCGUGAAUGGGCAAAAUCCAAGGGUAUUGCUUUGCCAGUUACCUUAAAACAGGCUGACGAGUGGCUGGUGACAGAAAGGGCAAAAGCACAAUGGAAAAAAUACAAAGCAAUGAUGAUUGAUGCAAAAUCUAGGACAGAUAAAUCUCCCUUUGAUCCAUGCAGUCCACAAAAUUUAGAAAAAGAAGCUAAACCAUGCUGUCCUUCAGAAAGGGAUGUGCCGGAAGCAGAUUGUGUUAUGGACACUGUUGGUGUUAUCUGUGUGGACACUGAAGGACAUGUAGCAUCUGGGGCCUCAAGUGGGGGUAUUGCCAUGAAGGUCAGAGGACGUGUUGGAUUAGCAGGACUAUAUGGUUCAGGUUGUUGGGCAUCUUCGAAAGGUCCUUUUGGUGCUCCAUGUGUGGUUGGUUGUUGUGUAAGUGGUGCUGGUGAAUAUCUAAUGAAAGGAUUUGCAGCUCGAGAGUGCUGUGUUUCUUCAUCAAUGUUGGUCCUGCCUCAGCUUGCAACAAAGUUUUACGGUCUUUUAUGCAAGAGAGUAACCACAAUGGCACUGACAAAAGUGCUGGAAUUUUACUUGUACAAGCGGACACAGUGGUUUCAGGAAGCUCUCAGAAACUGAAAGCUAUUGAGAUUGCGGCUGCUUAUUCUUCUUUAUCCUUUGGGGUAGGCUAUUUUGGAAGCUCUAUGGAACGCCCCAAGGUUUCAAUCCUAAGGAGUAAAAAUCAGCAAAACAAAACAGGAAUCGAACGUUUUGAAGCGAGAGUUGAUCUUUCUACUGAAAAGCUACUUUGAGUGCAACCUUGACCAAUAUUAAGAGUGGGCGAGGUUUGGUAAAUGUGGAAGCUAACCUAUCACUGAAUUUGGCUAUGGUUGUUUUUCUCAAGACUCAAUACAAGUUACCAAUGAUUUUCAUGCUGAAGCACCACACCAGAACUGAUGCCUAUCAAAUGAUUGGAUCAAAUUAGUUGUACGUCAUGACAUGAACUUCACCCGUUUCAUCUGUAACUUUUAAGUAAAAACCAUGUAAAUGUUAUACUGACGAUUGAGUAAAUUGAAUGUUGGUUUACGAAUGAAUUAAACUAAGAAGAAAUUCCCUUA
Molecule: RNA transcript, 1937 nt
Organism: Humulus lupulus (European hop)
Lineage: Eukaryota; Viridiplantae; Streptophyta; Magnoliopsida; Rosales; Cannabaceae
Gene name: putative threonine aspartase
Exons: 11
Source: RefSeq, a predicted model, not a curated record